RNAcentral lists this ribosomal RNA (253 nucleotides) under uncultured bacterium. Its description in RNAcentral is "partial 16S ribosomal RNA". It matches the Rfam family "Bacterial small subunit ribosomal RNA", at positions 524 to 776 of the family's 1533-position model. The record is from RNAcentral.
UACGGAGGGUGCAAGCGUUAUCCGGAUUCACUGGGUUUAAAGGGUGCGUAGGCGGGUAGGGAAGUCAGUGGUGAAAUCUUCGAGCUCAACUCGGAAAUUGCCGUUGAUACUAUUUAUCUUGAAUAUCGUUGAGGUUUGCGGAAUAUGUCAUGUAGCGGUGAAAUGCUUAGAGAUGACAUAGAACACCUAUUGCGAAGGCAGCAGGCUAAACGAAGAUUGACGCUGAGGCACGAAAGCGUGGGGAUCAAACAGG